Molecule: ribosomal RNA, 837 nt
Filed under: uncultured archaeon
Lineage: Archaea
Description: bacterial SSU rRNA
Rfam family: Archaeal small subunit ribosomal RNA
Source: RNAcentral
GGUUACUGCUAUCGGUGUUCGCCUAAGCCUUGCGAGUCAUAUGUUCGUAAGAACAUGGCGUACUGCUCAGUAACACGUGGAUAACCUGCCCUUGGGUCCGGCAUAACCCCGGGAAACUGGGGAUAAUUCCGGAUAACGCACAUAUGCUGGAAUGCUUUAUGCGUAAAAUGGAUUCGUCUGCCCAAGGAUGGGUCUGCGGCCUAUCAGGUAGUAGUGGGUGUAAUGUACCUACUAGCCUACGACGGGUACGGGUUGUGAGAGCAAGAGCCCGGAGAUGGAUUCUGAGACAUGAAUCCAGGCCCUACGGGGCGCAGCAGGCGCGAAAACUUUACAAUGCGGGAAACCGUGAUAAGGGGACACCGAGUGCCAGCAUCCUAUGCUGGCUGUCCGGGUGUGUAAAAUACACCUGUCAGCAAGGGCCGGGCAAGACCGGUGCCAGCCGCCGCGGUAACACCGGCGGCCCGAGUGGUGAUCGUGAUUAUUGGGUCUAAAGGGUCCGUAGCCGGUUUGGUCAGUCCUCCGGGAAAUCUGACAGCUCAACUGUUAGGCUUUCGGAGGAUACUGCCAGACUUGGAACCGGGAGAGGUAAGAGGUACUACAGGGGUAGGAGUGAAAUCUUGUAAUCCCUGUGGGACCACCUGUGGCGAAGGCGUCUUACCAGAACGGGUUCGACGGUGGGGGACGAAAGCUGGGGGCACGAACCGGAUUAGAUACCCGGGUAGUCCCAGCCGUAAACGAUGCUCGCUAGGUGUCAGGCAUGGCGCGACCGUGUCUGGUGCCGCAGGGAAGCCGUGAAGCGAGCCACCUGGGAAGUACGGCCGCAAGGCUGAAACUUAA